UCAACUAUCAAGCCUGGCUUGUCGUUGGACCUUUUUGCCACUGAAAUAUGUGACAGGUCCGAAAGAUAAUGACGGCGUCAUGUUUGACCCUAAAUGCAACGAGCUUUUUAUAGCAAGCACGCAUUGAAGUGGUUGGCUGACCCAGUCUUUAACCAUCAUUUUUCUAA
RNAcentral lists this unclassified non-coding RNA (167 nucleotides) under uncultured Chaetothyriales. RNAcentral's name for it is "sequence contains ITS2". Lineage: Eukaryota; Fungi; Ascomycota; Eurotiomycetes; Chaetothyriales. The record is from RNAcentral.